GACGAACGCUGGCGGCGUGCUUAACACAUGCAAGUCGAACGGAAAGGCCCUGCUUGCAGGGUGCUCGAGUGGCGAACGGGUGAGUAACACGUGGGUGAUCUGCCCCUUACUUUGGGAUAAGCCUGGGAAACUGGGUCUAAUACUGGAUAGGACCAUGCUGUAGGUGGUGUGGUGGAAAGAUUUUUUCGGUAAGGGAUGAGCUCGCGGCCUAUCAGCUUGUUGGUGGGGUAAUGGCCUACCAAGGCGUCGACGGGUAGCCGGCCUGAGAGGGUGGACGGCCACAUUGGGACUGAGAUACGGCCCAGACUCCUACGGGAGGCAGCAGUGGGGAAUAUUGCACAAUGGGCGCAAGCCUGAUGCAGCGACGCCGCGUGGGGGAUGACGGCCUUCGGGUUGUAAACUCCUUUCAGCCAUGACGAAGCCUCUUUUGGGGUGACGGUAGUGGUAGAAGAAGCACCGGCUAACUACG
Molecule: ribosomal RNA, 469 nt
Filed under: uncultured Corynebacterium sp.
Lineage: Bacteria; Bacillati; Actinomycetota; Actinomycetes; Mycobacteriales; Corynebacteriaceae
Description: bacterial SSU rRNA
Rfam family: Bacterial small subunit ribosomal RNA
Source: RNAcentral